AGUGCAAUUGCUAGGCCAUGGUAGUAUAUUUUUGUUUGUUCGUUUUAAAAGAAACUGCUAAACUCUUUUCUGAUGUGGCUAUACCAUUUGUAUUCCCACCUGUAGU
Molecule: microRNA precursor, 106 nt
Filed under: Marmota monax (woodchuck)
Lineage: Eukaryota; Metazoa; Chordata; Mammalia; Rodentia; Sciuridae
Source: RNAcentral